Molecule: long non-coding RNA, 1272 nt
Filed under: Anser cygnoides (Swan goose)
Lineage: Eukaryota; Metazoa; Chordata; Aves; Anseriformes; Anatidae
Description: lncRNA (ENSACDG00005018426.1)
Source: RNAcentral
AUGCCAGGGCUGGCACUAGGAUGUAGGGAGGUGGCACAGGGGAACAGGAUGGCACUAGGGACACAGGGAGGUGGCCCCAUGGCACAGGGAAGUGGCACUGGGGAUCAGGGGACGGCACUGGGAUGGAGGCAGGUGGCACCAGGACACGGAGAGGUGGCACCAGAGGGGUGGCAAAGGGAUGCAGGGAGGUGGCACUGGGACACAGUGAGAGGACACGGGGGAUCAGAGGGGUGGCACUGGGGAUACAGGGAGAGGUCACCGGGGAUCAGAGGGUGGCACUGGGAUGCUGGGAGGUGGCAGCAGGCCACCGGGAGAGGACACGGGGGACCAGGGAGUGGCGCUGGGGACACAAGGAGGGGGCACCGGGGAUCGGGGGGUGGCACUGGGAUGCCGGGAGGUGGCACUGGGACGCAGCGAGAGGACACGGGGGAUCAGGAGGUGGCACUGGGAUGCCGGGAGGUGGCACUGGGACGCAGGGGGUGGCCUCGGGCUCUCACCAGCCUCGGGAGCGGGCUGCCAGUCCUCCCCGCCCAGCUCCCAGCGCUCCGUCGGCAGCUCCUCCAGCUCGCCUGGGGACAGGGACACGCAGAGGGGUGGCAGCACUGGCGUCCCCGGCCCACCCCUAGCAAGGGGACCCCAGGGAGGGAGGAGACGGGGGACAAGGGGCAGGACGGGGGUGACCCCGACCACACCAUGCAGCCCCCCCGGGGACAAAGCAGCGGGGGAGCUGAGGGGACGUGGGUGACAAGCGCUCAGCACAGGACGGGACCCCCGGUGUCCCCCCGCUCACCUCGGUCUCUGCCAUCCUCCUCCUCCUCCUCGGGGGCCCGAGGCUGCCCUGGGGACAGGGACGUCCCCUCUCUGUCCUCACCCCGUGGGGGGUGCGGGGCCACAGGGGGCUCCCAGGGGGUGUCCGGCGGCACCGGUGGCCUCGUGCCCGAGGGCUUCUUGGUGGCCUUGGGCGGCUUCUCCUUGGGUGGCUUCUUGGGCGGCUUCUCCUUGGGCUUCUUGGAGCCUUUGGGGGGUUUCUCGGAGCCUUUGGGGGGUUUCUCGGAGCCUUUCGGGGGCUUCUCGGAGCCUUUCGGGGGCUUCUCUUUGGGCUUCUUGGGGGGCUUGUCCCUGUCGUUGCUCUUGUCCCUGCUCUUGUCCCGCUCCUUGUCCCUGUCCCUGUCCUUGUCCUUUUUGGAGCCCCGCGCUCUCUCCUUGGGCUUCUUGGUGGGUUUGGGGGCUUUGUCCUUCCGGGCCUUCUUGGGCGCCUCGGGCUCCGGCAGC